GAUGAAGAACGUAGCGAAAUGCGAUAAGUAAUGAGAAUUGCAGAAUUCAGUGAAUCAUCGAAUCUUUGAACGCACAUUGCGCCCGCCAGCACUCUGGCGGGCAUGCCUGUUCGAGCGUCAUUUCAACCAUCAAGCCCCCAGGGGCUUGUGCUGGGGCCCUGCGGCUGCCCGCAGGCCCUGAAAACCAGUGGCGGGCUCGCUAGUCACACCGAGCGCAGUAGCACAUCUCGCUCAGGGCGUGCGGCGGGCUCCUGCCGUGAAACCCCCCACUGUAACCCCAAAGGUUGACCUCGGAUCAGGUAGGAAUACCCGCUGAACUUAAGCAUAUCAAUAAGCGGAGGA
RNAcentral lists this unclassified non-coding RNA (342 nucleotides) under soil metagenome. Its description in RNAcentral is "partial contains 5.8S ribosomal RNA, internal transcribed spacer 2, and large subunit ribosomal RNA". The stretch from base 1 to 120 matches the Rfam family "5.8S ribosomal RNA", at positions 35 to 154 of the family's 154-position model. The record is from RNAcentral.